CCUACGGGUGGCAGCAGUGAGGAAUAUUGGUCAAUGGGCGAGAGCCUGAACCAGCCAAGUCGCGUGAAGGAUGACGGAUCUAUGGUUUGUAAACUUCUUUUAUAUGGGAAUAAAGUGAGGAACGUGUUCCUUUUUGUAUGUACCAUAUGAAUAAGCAUCGGCUAACUCCGUGCCAGCAGCCGCGGUAAUACGGAGGAUGCGAGCGUUAUCCGGAUUUAUUGGGUUUAAAGGGUGCGUAGGUGGUUAGUUAAGUCAGCGGUGAAAGUUUGUGGCUCAACCAUAAAAUUGCCGUUGAUACUGGUUGACUUGAGUAUAUUUGAGGUAGGCGGAAUGCGUGGUGUAGCGGUGAAAUGCAUAGAUAUCACGCAGAACUCCGAUUGCGAAGGCAGCUUACUAAACUAUAACUGACACUGAAGCACGAAAGCGUGGGGAGCAAACAGGAUUAGAUACCCGUGUAGUC
Molecule: ribosomal RNA, 460 nt
Filed under: uncultured bacterium
Lineage: Bacteria
Description: partial 16S ribosomal RNA
Rfam family: Bacterial small subunit ribosomal RNA
Source: RNAcentral